RNAcentral lists this ribosomal RNA (531 nucleotides) under uncultured bacterium. RNAcentral describes it as "partial 16S ribosomal RNA". It matches the Rfam family "Bacterial small subunit ribosomal RNA", at positions 355 to 874 of the family's 1533-position model. The record is from RNAcentral.
UGGGGAAUUUUGGACAAUGGGCGAAAGCCUGAUCCAGCAAUGCCGCGUGUGUGAAGAAGGCCUUCGGGUUGUAAAGCACUUUUGUCCGGAAAGAAAUCCUUGGCUCUAAUACAGUCGGGGGAUGACGGUACCGGAAGAAUAAGCACCGGCUAACUACGUGCCAGCAGCCGCGGUAAUACGUAGGGUGCAAGCGUUAAUCGGAAUUACUGGGCGUAAAGCGUGCGCAGGCGGUUUGCUAAGACCGAUGUGAAAUCCCCGGGCUCAACCUGGGAACUGCAUUGGUGACUGGCAGGGCUAGAGUAUGGCAGAGGGGGGUAGAAUUCCACGUGUAGCAGUGAAAUGCGUAGAGAUGUGGAGGAAUACCGAUGGCGAAGGCAGCCCCCUGGGCCAAUACUGACGCUCAUGCACGAAAGCGUGGGGGAGCAAAACAGGAUUUAGAUACCCCUGGUAGUCCACGCCCUAAACGAUGUCAACUAGUUGUUGGGGAUUCAUUUCCUUAGUAACGUAGCUAACGCGUGAAGUUGACCGCCU